This 253-nucleotide ribosomal RNA is filed under the name uncultured bacterium. Its description in RNAcentral is "partial 16S ribosomal RNA". It matches the Rfam family "Bacterial small subunit ribosomal RNA", at positions 524 to 776 of the family's 1533-position model. The record is from RNAcentral.
UACGGGGGGGGCAAGCGUUGUUCGGAAUUACUGGGCGUAAAGGGCUCGUAGGCGGCCAACUAAGUCAGACGUGAAAUCCCUCGGCUUAACCGGGGAACUGCGGCUGAUACUGGAUGGCUUGAGGUUGGGAGAGGGAUGCGGAAUUCCAGGUGUAGCGGUGAAAUGCGUAGAUAUCUGGAGGAACACCGGUGGCGAAGGCGGCAUCCUGGACCAAUUCUGACGCUGAGGAGCGAAAGCCAGGGGAGCAAACGGG